CCUCCCACGGUGAAGGUGUAAAGCAGAAGGCUGGCCAAGGACCAAGGUCCCAGCAAAUGAUGCUGGGAGAAGGCACGCGUCUGAGAGUACACAAGUUCCUGCUGAACCAACUGUGUCCCCAGUUCUUGCUUCAAGAAAAUGUGAAACUCUGCACGAGGAUGCUAGCACGUACGAUUCCUGGCUUCUUGGGAAAUCUCACGCACAAAACUGCCUUUCUCCUCUGCACUGACCGAAUCCACAGUGAGACACCGUGAGGGACAAACUCAGGAGCCUUGGAUACAGAAGUUGACAUUAAUCCCAUGUCAGCUUUGCAGUGAACCCGGAAGAUCUCCGCAGAGGACAACACACCCCUCUUUGCUCUGAAUAAAACUCCAGCAGUUGCAUAUUUCUUCUGAGUUGUGGCUUUGCUGCCCCUGACGCCUUGCUUCAGCAGCCCUGCCCUGCACCUGUGACUGAGGUCCACCAGGCAAAACCAGACAGAAAACCGCACCAAAC
RNAcentral lists this long non-coding RNA (495 nucleotides) under Heterocephalus glaber (naked mole-rat). RNAcentral's name for it is "lncRNA (ENSHGLG00100049878.1)". Lineage: Eukaryota; Metazoa; Chordata; Mammalia; Rodentia; Bathyergidae. The record is from RNAcentral.